ACGGAGGGUGCAAACGUUAUUCGGAAUUACUGGGCGUAAAGCGCGUGAAGGAGGGGGAGCAAGUCUGAUGUGAAAGCCCCGGGCUUAACCUGGGAAGUGCAUUGGAAACGGUUCGUCUUGAGUUCUGGAGAGGAUGGGGGAAUUCCCGGUGUAGAGGUGAAAUUCGUAGAGAUCGGGAGGAAUACCAGUGGCUAAGGCGCCCAUCUGGACAGUAACUGACGCUUAGACGCGAAAGCGUGGGGAGCAAACAG
Molecule: ribosomal RNA, 251 nt
Filed under: uncultured prokaryote
Description: partial 16S rRNA
Rfam family: Bacterial small subunit ribosomal RNA
Source: RNAcentral